RNAcentral lists this ribosomal RNA (429 nucleotides) under uncultured bacterium. Its description in RNAcentral is "bacterial SSU rRNA". It matches the Rfam family "Bacterial small subunit ribosomal RNA", at positions 355 to 775 of the family's 1533-position model. The record is from RNAcentral.
UGGGGAAUAUUGGGCAAUGGGCGAAAGCCUGACCCAGCGACGCCGCGUGGGUGAUGAAGGCCUUCGGGUUGUAAAACCCUUUCGUGCGGAGAGAAUAGUCCUGUAGCGAAUAACUACGGGAUUUGACGGUACCGCAGGAAGAAGCACCGGCUAACUCCGUGCCAGCAGCCGCGGUAAUACGGAGGGUGCAAGCGUUGUUCGGAAUUAUUGGGCGUAAAGGGCGCGUAGGUGGCUGUGAUAGUCAGAUGUGAAAUCCUUCGGCUCAACCGAAGAACUGCAUCUGAAACGUCAUAGCUCGAGUACAGGAGAGGGAAACGGAAUUCCCGGUGUAGAGGUGAAAUUCGUAGAUAUCGGGAGGAACACCAGUGGCGAAGGCGGUUUCCUGGCCUGAUACUGACGCUGAGGCGCGAAAGCGUGGGGAGCAAACAG